Long non-coding RNA from Girardinichthys multiradiatus, 601 nucleotides. RefSeq lists it as uncharacterized. The record is from RefSeq and is a predicted model, not a curated record. The transcript is spliced from 3 exons. NCBI's taxonomy places the organism in Eukaryota, Metazoa, Chordata, Actinopteri, Cyprinodontiformes, Goodeidae.
CGACCACCGACACAUAGGCCAAAGUGGGGUGAUUAGGAGUGCAAGAGUGAGAGAGGGGAAAAUAAUGGAAAGUUGGAAACAAAAAGAAGGGUGAUGUGGGAAAACAGUGUGAUGCUAAAGGUGCAAAAUCCUGGAGAGUGAUCAGGACUAUUGUGGAAAUCCAAAAUGGUCAAGGAAGGGUAAACACUGCCAUAUGAGACUGCCAGCAUUUAUUGGAAGGACUCUCAACGAACACGAACCACUUGUGUUGUCUUACACGUCCAAAAGCCUGAUUUCCUCCAUCCCUGUUCGCCCCCUGGUUCCACCCAGCCUGACCUAAUCAGUGAUAAGUUGAGUGCUUUCGUCAACAGAGCAGACCCCUUCAAUUAGCAGCGCAUAGCUAUAAGCUCAUGUGUAAGCAUUGCUGUGAAAUUGCAUGUGCGGGCGUGCAUGCUGCCAGCCUCCAGACUGACCUCGGCUCCCUCCAGUUACUCAGCUAAUAAGUCAGUGACUGAACUCAGCCUCCUGCAUAUCCAGAUGGAGAGGUUUAAUGGGUAUUAAAGGUGGAGAGGCUGAACAGAUAGAGGAGGAUAACUUAAAGCUGCCAACAGAGUUGGCCAAG